This 253-nucleotide ribosomal RNA is filed under the name uncultured bacterium. RNAcentral's name for it is "partial 16S ribosomal RNA". It matches the Rfam family "Bacterial small subunit ribosomal RNA", at positions 524 to 776 of the family's 1533-position model. The record is from RNAcentral.
UACGUAGGUGGCAAGCGUUGUCCGGAAUUAUUGGGCGUAAAGAGCUCGUAGGCGGCUUGUCACGUCGGGUGUGAAAGCCCGGGGCUUAACCCCGGGUCUGCAUUCGAUACGGGCUGGCUAGAGUGUGGUAGGGGAGAUCGGAAUUCCUGGUGUAGCGGUGAAAUGCGCAGAUAUCAGGAGGAACACCGGUGGCGAAGGCGGGUCUCUGGGCCGAUACUGACGCUGAGGAGCGAAAGCGUGGGGAGCGAACAGG